Symphalangus syndactylus (siamang) is the source of this 962-nucleotide long non-coding RNA. RefSeq lists it as uncharacterized. The record is from RefSeq and is a predicted model, not a curated record. NCBI's taxonomy places the organism in Eukaryota, Metazoa, Chordata, Mammalia, Primates, Hylobatidae.
UAGGAUGCGAGGAGUCAUCCCAAGACAAAACAUGGCCAGACAAGUGAGCCAGAUAAAGAGGCAGUGGAUGCAGAUCAGUUUGUGGUUGAUUUUCCUGGCACCCAUUUCGUGGGCCGACCCGGCCUCUUUCUCUCAGGUUCACGCAGGGGAAAGGCUCUUCGAGGUGCUGGAAAGAAGACUUUGUCUCCUUCCUUUUCGGCUUGGACCAGCCCUAUCAGUGGAGUUUUCUAGGCAAAUCUGGUCCCCACCCCACCCCCCACAAAUCAGGCUGCAAGCUCUUCUCUUCGAGAGUCAUCUUGUUCACUUCUGUGCCCUUAGUGCCCAGGACAGUUGGUGCUCACAUAAAUAUAUCCAGAAAACAAAAAUGGAUGGAUGGAUCAAUAGACAGGUGGCUGGAUGAAGGAUUAUGAUGGCACCCUUGCCCUUGACUGGCCCUCAGGCCAGUUGAGAGGUCAAGAUACACAGUUUGCAAGUGCAGAAAACAGUUUGCAAGUGCAGAAAACAAUAUUUAGGCAUCAAAUUGAAGGUGUAAUCUGUGGAGUCCAAAUCAUUUGGGAGGCCAAUGAGAAUAAGCCUCACAGGUCUUCAGCUAUAGGAAGUGUAAUUAACUAUGGGCCUCACCUGCUGUGUUCUGAAAUCCAUCUACGCUGAGGCCACAUUUCCCAUAGGCUGCUCCCAGCCAGUGACUGAUCAUAGCAGGGUUACUAGGGCAGGCUCCUUCCUGGGAGACAACCAACUCCUCUGACAGCUGGCCUUGCCUGAGGACUCCUCAACAGCUUUGCCAAAGCUUCUUUAAACUGCAUGACGGUCUAGGAUGCUUUCAUCCAACCUUUUCUUCCUCUGUUCUUCACUUGGAGUCAGACUUUUGUGGAGGCCUGAUGGCCCCCAUUCUUUUUGGUUCCCUCUCCUUUUUUUUUCUCCCUCACAUAGACAUUUCCCCUAGUAAAAUCCUUGCAUAUUUA